Molecule: ribosomal RNA, 241 nt
Filed under: uncultured Staphylococcus sp.
Lineage: Bacteria; Bacillati; Bacillota; Bacilli; Caryophanales; Staphylococcaceae
Description: partial 16S ribosomal RNA
Rfam family: Bacterial small subunit ribosomal RNA
Source: RNAcentral
CGGACGGGUGAGUAACACGUGGAUAACCUACCUAUAAGACUGGGAUAACUUCGGGAAACCGGAGCUAAUACCGGAUAAUAUAUUGAACCGCAUGGUUCAAUAGUGAAAGACGGUUUUGCUGUCACUUAUAGAUGGAUCCGCGCCACAUUAGCUAGUUGGUAAGGUAACAGCUUACCAAGGCAACGAUGCGUAGCCGACCUGAGAGGGUGAUCGGCCACACUGGAACUGAGACACGGUCCAG